CUUCAAUAAUCACAGUUCUUCAAUUACAAAUUACCCUAAAAAUUUCUCAUACGUUUUCUUCCUUCGGUGUGGUUUGAGUCGGGACAUAGGCUUAUAUAUUGUUUGGAUGUCGUGGAUCCAAGACACGACUUGGAUCUCGUGUCCUUAGUCCACGAGAAUAGCAUGGAAUUCGUGUACGGGGUCCACGAGAUUGCCAUGAAACUCGUGUCCCGGUGCACGACUUAUAGAAGCUUGACACCGUGUAAGGAAAUCGUGGAUGGGAUCCACGACAUUGGUGGAAAAUCGCAUUUCCCAUCCACGACCUU
Molecule: long non-coding RNA, 305 nt
Filed under: Lupinus angustifolius (narrow-leaved blue lupine)
Lineage: Eukaryota; Viridiplantae; Streptophyta; Magnoliopsida; Fabales; Fabaceae
Description: long non-coding RNA (LANG_LNC003432)
Source: RNAcentral